UGCCCCAGUAACGGCGAGUGAAGCGGCAAGAGCUCAAAUUUGAAAUCUGGCCCCUCCGGGGUCCGAGUUGUAAUUUGCAGAGGAUGCUUCGGGUACGGCCCCGGUCUAAGUCCCCUGGAACGGGGCGUCAUAGAGGGUGAGAAUCCCGUCUGGGAUCGUCGGCCGUGCCCGUGUGAAGCUCCUUCGACGAGUCGAGUUGUUUGGGAAUGCAGCUCUAAAUGGGUGGUAAAUUUCAUCUAAAGCUAAAUACUGGCCGGAGACCGAUAGCGCACAAGUAGAGUGAUCGAAAGAUGAAAAGCACUUUGAAAAGAGAGUUAAACAGCACGUGAAAUUGUUGAAAGGGAAGCGCUUGCGACCAGACUCGCCCGCGGGGUUCAGCCGGGAUUCGUCCCGGUGUACUUCCCCGCGGUCGGGCCAGCGUCGGUUUGGGCGGCCGGUCAAAGGCCCCGGGAAUGUAUCGCCCUCCGGGGCGUCUUAUAGCCCGGGGUGCAAUGCGGCCUGCCCGGACCGAGGAACGCGCUUCGGCACGGACGCUGGCGUAAUGGUCGUAAGCGGCCCGUCUUGAAACACGGACCAAGGAGUCUAACAUCUACGCGAGUGUUCGGGUGUCAAACCCGUCCGCGCAGUGAAAGCGAACGGAGGUGGGAGCCCUGAAGGGUGCACCAUCGACCGAUCCUGAUGUCUUCGGAUGGAUUUGAGUAAGAGCGUAGCUGUUGGGACCCGAAAGAUGGUGAACUAUGCCUGAAUAGGGCGAAGCCAGAGGAAACUCUGGUGGAGGCUCGCAGCGGUUCUGACGUGCAAAUCGAUCGUCGAAUUU
This 817-nucleotide ribosomal RNA is filed under the name Penicillium sp. RNAcentral describes it as "partial large subunit ribosomal RNA". It matches the Rfam family "Eukaryotic large subunit ribosomal RNA", at positions 76 to 912 of the family's 3401-position model. Lineage: Eukaryota; Fungi; Ascomycota; Eurotiomycetes; Eurotiales; Aspergillaceae. The record is from RNAcentral.